Molecule: long non-coding RNA, 1848 nt
Organism: Camelus dromedarius (Arabian camel)
Lineage: Eukaryota; Metazoa; Chordata; Mammalia; Artiodactyla; Camelidae
Source: Ensembl
CCAGUUUCCAAUGUUGUGUCGGUCUCUGGUGUACAGCAUAAUGAAGCAAGCCAGACAGAGAAAGGAACAGUGGUAUUUUAAUUCCUGUGCCCAGAACUGCUGCAUGCAAACACCCUGGUGUGGUCGUCUGACUCUAAAAACAAUGUCCAGGACGCGCCCAGACAGGUGACAUGAGAAGCACGUGGGCUCCGUUGCAAGGACGUCACAGCUGUGGACUCAAAUAGCUCUUGGCCGCGUCCUGGGAUGGCUUUGCCUAACAGGUCUUCACUCCCUUGCAGGCGUGGUUUAUGCCCACCUAUUGGCUCUCGCUCUGUUCACAGGACACUCACGUGGAAUCUGCCUCCUCACUGUCUUCAGCCCCCUUACUUACGGCCGUGCCAGCCGCCCUGCUGCACAGCCAGAGGCCCUGAAGCUGCAGCUGUCGGGACCCUGACCCCCGGAGGACUGGCUGCCAGCGUGUACAGUAGCGCGCCGAGGGCUUUGGUGCCCGACUUGCAGGCAGCAGCAGAGGUGUCAUCAGCAAAGCAAAAGUGUUUUCAAGGAAUGAUCAAGAAAACAUCAAUAUAUAACCAUCCAUUAGUUCAUCGCUUAAUGGAUGCAGAAGCUCAAAAAGGCACGGUGCUAAGGGGAUGAAGUGUGUGCUACUGGGACAGAGUCAGAUGGCAUUUUGUUGGAAAGGCUUCCACUAAUAGAACACUCAGUUCUCAAGUACUGAAGGAUACUGGCUUCCUGUCCUAACUCUUUUCUACUGAAGCGUCUUGCGCUUUAAAAGGAAUGAGCAAACCCAGAGCCCAGUUCUCCUGUUUCAACAUUGGCCCGAAGAUCCAAGAAUUACAGGAUGUCAAUUAGUUACACACAGGUUAAAGUGAGGACUGUGGUGGAUGCUGAAAAUUCCUCUGGCUAUGGUUCCUGAUGCUGCAUUGUUCUCUAAACUGUCUAAAACCUCAUCUACAUUAACUAUCCCAACUGUCUUAGGUUGCCUACUCUUGCCAAUAGCUGCUCUCCAGCUGUUAGUACCUGUAGCAACAUGUUAAAAAACAGAAAGUGCUCCUCAAGUCUGCAGCCUUGGCAGGGACAUCCUAACCCACGGCUCAGCGAUUCGCGUGCACAGUGACUCCUAAAUGUGUUCCCCCCAGCUACUUACUUGACGCCCUUCAUACUGCCUCGUGUUGGUUUCGUUCCUUUAAGAAGCAGAUGCCGGAAUGGAAUGAAACAUGCAAGAGACUUCUGGGGGGAAAUGCUUGUGGAGGGUAAAGAGGGAAGGACCAGAAGUAGGCAUGGACAGCCUUCCGGUCACCACGCAGGUCUGACACCUGGGAAGGGGGAGAGAGAACAGGUCGGGUAGGAAGGGCCUCCGGCCGCAACACAGCUCUGAGAAAGUGUCACCCAGCGAAACCUGCCCCCGGGACGAGCGUCCUCUGGAACGGGAAUGGGCUGGCUUAGGAGGCAGCCCCAGGAGCAGCGUGGCCUCUGAGGUGCCAAAGGGGACCUGCGGCAGCUUCUCUUCAUCCGAGCAGCCUCCCUCCACAGCCAGCGUGUCACACCACUGAUUAAUAUGCAGUAAAAAAUCAUUUUCCUUUGCAGAUUGGCCCCACCACCGGUAUUUUCUAUCUCAGUUUAUGGCAACAUCCUUUCUCCGGCUGCCCAGAAACCCGGAGCCACGCUAGUCUUUCCCCUUUCCUUACACCCUUCCUCAUCGCAUCCCACUGAUUUUACCUCCUAAUUUGUUUCUCUGCUCCCCACCCCCUGUUUGCAGCAUCAAGUCUAAUACUUCUUCUGAGGGUUGCUAACUGCCUUCUGACUGGCUGCCCCACCCUGGGCUGGCUCUCUUUCUUUAUCUCCUCUGGU